RNAcentral lists this ribosomal RNA (1222 nucleotides) under Maribacter stanieri. RNAcentral describes it as "bacterial SSU rRNA". It matches the Rfam family "Bacterial small subunit ribosomal RNA", at positions 21 to 1237 of the family's 1533-position model. The record is from RNAcentral. Lineage: Bacteria; Pseudomonadati; Bacteroidota; Flavobacteriia; Flavobacteriales; Flavobacteriaceae.
CUGUCAGGAUGAACGCUAGCGGCAGGCCUAACACAUGCAAGUCGAGGGGUAACAUUUGUGCUUGCACAAGAUGACGACCGGCGCACGGGUGCGCACCGCGUAUGGAACCUGCCUUGUACAGGGGAAUAGCCCAGGGAAACUUGGAUUAAUGCCCCGUAGUACCGUGACCCGGCAUCGGGAUACGGUUAAAGCCUUCGGGCGGUACAAGAUGGCCAUGCGUCCCAUUAGCUUGUUGGUAAGGUAACGGCUUACCAAGGCUACGAUGGGUAGGGGCCCUGAGAGGGGGAUCCCCCACACUGGUACUGAGACACGGACCAGACUCCUACGGGAGGCAGCAGUGAGGAAUAUUGGACAAUGGAGGAGACUCUGAUCCAGCCAUGCCGCGUGCAGGAAGAAUGCCCUAUGGGUAGUAAACUGCUUUUAUACGGGAAGAAAAAGAGCUACGUGUAGCUUACUGACGGUACCGUAAGAAUAAGGACCGGCUAACUCCGUGCCAGCAGCCGCGGUAAUACGGAGGGUCCGAGCGUUAUCCGGAAUUAUUGGGUUUAAAGGGUCCGUAGGCGGGCCGAUAAGUCAGGGGUGAAAGUCUGCCGCUCAACGGUAGAACUGCCUUUGAUACUGUCGGUCUUGAGUUAUAGUGAAGUUGCCGGAAUAUGUAGUGUAGCGGUGAAAUGCAUAGAUAUUACAUAGAACACCGAUUGCGAAGGCAGGUGACUAACUAUAUACUGACGCUGAUGGACGAAAGCGUGGGGAGCGAACAGGAUUAGAUACCCUGGUAGUCCACGCCGUAAACGAUGGAUACUAGCUGUCCGGAACCUUGAGUUCUGGGCGGCCAAGCGAAAGUGAUAAGUAUCCCACCUGGGGAGUACGUUCGCAAGAAUGAAACUCAAAGGAAUUGACGGGGGCCCGCACAAGCGGUGGAGCAUGUGGUUUAAUUCGAUGAUACGCGAGGAACCUUACCAGGGCUUAAAUGCAUAUUGACAGGUCUAGAGAUAGAUUUUCCUUCGGGCAAUUUGCAAGGUGCUGCAUGGUUGUCGUCAGCUCGUGCCGUGAGGUGUCAGGUUAAGUCCUAUAACGAGCGCAACCCCUACCGUUAGUUGCCAGCAUGUCAUGAUGGGGACUCUAACGGGACUGCCGGUGCAAACCGUGAGGAAGGUGGGGAUGACGUCAAAUCAUCACGGGCCCUUACGUCCUGGGGCACACAACGUGCUACAAUGGCAGG